GCACUGAUGAUUCAGGGGUAGAAUUCUCACCUUCCAUGUGGGAGACCCGGGUUCGAUUCCCAGCCAAUGUA
Molecule: transfer RNA, 71 nt
Filed under: Loxodonta africana (African savanna elephant)
Lineage: Eukaryota; Metazoa; Chordata; Mammalia; Proboscidea; Elephantidae
Rfam family: tRNA
About the family: Transfer RNA (tRNA) molecules are approximately 80 nucleotides in length. Their secondary structure includes four short double-helical elements and three loops (D, anti-codon, and T loops).
Source: Rfam by way of RNAcentral